AUUGAACGCUGGCGGAAUGCUUUACACAUGCAAGUCGAACGGCAGCACGGACUUCGGUCUGGUGGCGAGUGGCGAACGGGUGAGUAAUGUAUCGGAACGUGCCCAGUCGUGGGGGAUAACGUAGUGAAAAUUACGCUAAUACCGCAUACGAUCUAUGGAUGUAAGCGGGGAUCGCAAGACCUCGCGCGAUUGGAGCGGCCGAUAUCAGAUUAGGUAGUUGGUGGGGUAAAGGCCCACCAAGCCAACGAUCUGUAGCUGGUCUGAGAGGACGACCAGGCAGACUGGAACUGAGACACGGUCCAGACUCCUACGGGAGGCAGCAGUGGGGAAUUUUGGACAAUGGGCGAAAGCCUGAUCCAGCCAUUCCGCGUGCAGGAUGAAGGCCCUCGGGUUGUAAACUGCUUUUGUACAGAACGAAAAGGUUUCUACUAAUACUAGGAGCUCAUGACGGUACUGUAAGAAUAAGCACCGGCUAACUACGUGCCAGCCGCCGCGGUAA
Molecule: ribosomal RNA, 499 nt
Filed under: uncultured bacterium
Lineage: Bacteria
Description: partial 16S ribosomal RNA
Rfam family: Bacterial small subunit ribosomal RNA
Source: RNAcentral